This 74-nucleotide transfer RNA is filed under the name Pseudomonadota bacterium. Its description in RNAcentral is "tRNA-Gly". It matches the Rfam family "tRNA". Rfam says of the family: Transfer RNA (tRNA) molecules are approximately 80 nucleotides in length. Their secondary structure includes four short double-helical elements and three loops (D, anti-codon, and T loops). Lineage: Bacteria; Pseudomonadati; Pseudomonadota. The record is from RNAcentral. RNAcentral also lists the same sequence under 3 other names.
GCGGGUAUAGCUCAAUGGUAGAGCACUGGCCUUCCAAGCCAGAGACACGGGUUCGAUUCCCGUUACCCGCUCCA